Molecule: ribosomal RNA, 447 nt
Filed under: uncultured bacterium
Lineage: Bacteria
Description: bacterial SSU rRNA
Rfam family: Bacterial small subunit ribosomal RNA
Source: RNAcentral
UGGGGAAUCUUGGACAAUGGGCGCAAGCCUGAUCCAGCCAUGCCGCGUGGAUGAUGAAGGCCUUAGGGUUGUAAAAUCCUUUCGCCGAGGACGAUAAUGACGGUACUCGGAGAAGAAGCUCCGGCUAACUUCGUGCCAGCAGCCGCGGUAAUACGAAGGGGGCUAGCGUUGUUCGGAUUUACUGGGCGUAAAGCGCGUGUAGGCGGGUCGUUAAGUUGGGGGUGAAAUCCCGAGGCUCAACCUCGGAACUGCCUUCAAAACUGGCGACCUGGACCUAAGUAGAGGCAAGUGGAAUUGCGAGUGUAGAGGUGAAAUUCGUAGAUAUUCGCAGGAACACCAGUGGCGAAGGCGACUUGCUGGACUUAUGGUGACGCUGAGACGCGAAAGCGUGGGGAGCAAACAGGAUUAGAUACCCAAGUAUUCCCUGAGCGGGCUGGCAAGGCGCAU